UAGUCUGGUGCCAGCAGCCGCGGUAAUUCCAGCUCCAAUAGCGUAUAUUAAAGUUGUUGCAGUUAGAACGCUCGUAGUCGGAUUUCGGGGCGGGCCGACCGGUCUGCCGAUGGGUACGCACUGGUCGGCGCGUCCUUCCUUCCGGAGACCGUGCCUACUCUUAACUGAGCGGGGGCGGGAGACGGAUCGUUUACUUUGAAAAAAUCAGAGUGUUUCAAGCAGGCAGCUCGCUCUUGCAUGGAUUAGCAUGGGAUAAUGAAAUAGGACUUUGGUGCUAUUUUGUUGGUUUCGAACACCGAAGUAAUGAUUAACAGGGACAGUCAGGGGCACUCGUAUUCCGCCGAGAGAGGUGAAAUUCUCAGACCAGCGGAAGACGAACUACUGCGAAAGCAUUUGCCAGGGAUGUUUUCACUGAUCAAGAACGAAAGUUAGGGGAUCGAAGACGAUCAGAUACCGUCGUAGUCUUAACCAUAAACCAUGCCGACUAGGGAUUGGAGGAUGUUCACUGAUUGACUCCUUCAGCACCUUACGGGAAACUAAAGUCUUUGGGUUCCGGGGGGAGUAUGGUCGCAAGGCUGAAACUUAAAGGAAUUGACGGAAGGGCACCACCAGGUGUGGAGCCUGCGGCUUAAUUUGACUCAACACGGGGAAACUUACCAGGUCCAGACAUUGUGAGGAUUGACAGAUUGAGAGCUCUUUCUUGAUUCGAUGGGUGGUGGUGCAUGGCCGUUCUU
This 734-nucleotide ribosomal RNA is filed under the name uncultured eukaryote. RNAcentral describes it as "SSU rRNA". It matches the Rfam family "Eukaryotic small subunit ribosomal RNA", at positions 557 to 1295 of the family's 1831-position model. The record is from RNAcentral.